AACCAUUCUAUGAACAUUAUCAGGAUCAAGUUGAUGAAAAGGUUGGCGUUUGUUCUUGAGCUGGACUUGAGCUAUCCAAUGCCUCCUUCCCCUUUCUUCUCUGUCAAAGUCCAUUGGCAAUGGUGUGCAGUCCCUCAGCGGGCACCUGUCAUCAAAGCCUCUUACAUGACAAGGAGAGCAUGUACCACUUGCUCAACUUCAUUUGUGUUCACAACUACAAGGGGAUGAAGCAGCUGCAAGGAAAAACAUCAAUUACAGAAGCAGCUGCAAGGACAUACGAAGGUUCUAGAGGAGGAAAGGAAUAAUAUUUUCAGUCUCCAGGCAAAAAAUGACUGAAGUCGGUCCAUCUUUUCAAGCACUACAUUACAUUUUAUAGCCUAUAGAGUAAAUGUGAUCUGAAAUUAUUUUGUCCUUACUCUUCUAUUUGUAUGCUUAUUCUGAAAUUACUUUGCACUAUUGGCCAAAUGAUCUACCCAUCACAUUUUUGGAAA
Molecule: long non-coding RNA, 491 nt
Organism: Zea mays
Lineage: Eukaryota; Viridiplantae; Streptophyta; Magnoliopsida; Poales; Poaceae
Exons: 2
Source: RefSeq, a predicted model, not a curated record